AAUAACCAAAAAUGCCUUUUUUACCUUCUUCGGUCGGUUGUCAGCGCGCGCAGACCUUCCUCGCCCCAAAUCCAGAACAAACAGUCCUGUCCGACGUUCGACGUCGAUGACGUCAGACGCACGGGGGCAGGCCAAACGUUUGUCAGACGAAUGUCACCUCUCCACGACCCCCCACCCGCCUCUCCCCCAUACCGAGUGAGCUCAUGCGGUGUUUCAGCAGCAGGACUGGGUUACACCUAACUAACGGCUGCGUUAGGUAUGCCGCCUGGUGGUCAGUGAUGAUACUGAAUCCACAGAAGAGCAAUCACAGAUGCUGACUAAGUUGCCACAAUUUUCUGUUACAUAACAUGCAAGUCUAACUGGUCCAAGUGUGAAAGGCUCUUCCUCCAUCUUUUCCUCCUCUGCUCCUCCACCCUCAACCACCUCCUCUGGCGCUGUAACUCCCUCAGGCGCAGACUCAUCCUUGGUGAGCUCCGCCUCUGUCUGGUUGUCACCGGUUAACUCCAUUUCAGACACGUCCAUCACCAUGGAAUCUUCAGGAUCCUGAUCGUCUUGGUUACCAGAAAAGGGGUUCUCACCCUACCAAGGGAACAGAGAUUACAAGAUGACUACAUGAACAAGCUGUAGCAGAGUGCUGCUGUUACGUUGAUGGUUACCAUUGAAACGCCAAAGCCAAAUGAAGCAGGUUGUAAUGAAUGACUAAUCUGAGCAGAAGGCAUUCACUGUCAACAAGAUUUAUGAACAAAACAUGACAUUAUCUGCUCAAGAAAAUUGCUUUCAAAAAUCACUAUG
Long non-coding RNA from Myripristis murdjan (pinecone soldierfish), 792 nucleotides. RefSeq lists it as uncharacterized. The record is from RefSeq and is a predicted model, not a curated record. NCBI's taxonomy places the organism in Eukaryota, Metazoa, Chordata, Actinopteri, Holocentriformes, Holocentridae. The transcript has 4 exons.